AGAACAACAGGGAUGCCCUAGUAACGGCGAGUGAAGCGGCAACAGCUCAAAUUUGAAAUCUGGCCCUCGGGUCCGAGUUGUAAUUUGUAGAGGAUGAUUUUGGUUAGGUACCUUCCGAGUUCCUUGGAACAGGACGCCUUAGAGGGUGAGAGCCCCGUACGGUUGGAUGCCGAGCCUCUGUAAAUCUCCUUCGACGAGUCGAGUAGUUUGGGAAUGCUGCUCUAAAUGGGAGGUAAAUUUCUUCUAAAGCUAAAUACCGGCCAGAGACCGAUAGCGCACAAGUAGAGUGAUCGAAAGAUGAAAAGCACUUUGAAAAGAGGGUUAAAUAGUACGUGAAAUUGUUGAAAGGGAAGGGCUUGUGACCAGACCUUUGCCUUGCGGAUCAUCCGGUGUUCUCACCGGUGCACUCCGCUUGGUUGAGGCCAGCAUCAGUUUCGGCGGCGGGAUAAAGACUUCAGGAACGUGACUCCCCCGGGAGUGUUAUAGCCUGCUGUGUAAUACCGCCGCUGGGACUGAGGACCGCGCUUCGGCUAGGAUGCUGGCAUAAUGGUCAUCAGCCACCCGUCUUGAAACACGGACCAAGGAGUCGAACAUUUAUGCGAGUUUUUGGGUGUUAAACCCUCAAGCGUAAUGAAAGUGAACGGAGGUGAGAGCCCUUACGGGUGCAUCAUCGACCGAUCCUGAUGUCUUCGGAUGGAUUUGAGUAAGAGCAUAACUGUUCGGACCCGAAAGAUGGUGAACUAUGCGUGGAUAGGGUGAAGCCAGAGGAAACUCUGGUGGAGGCUCGCAGCGGUUCUGACGUGCAAAUCGAUCGUCAAAUCUGCGCAUGGGGCGAAAGACUAUCG
This 845-nucleotide ribosomal RNA is filed under the name Microdochium seminicola. Its description in RNAcentral is "eukaryotic LSU rRNA". It matches the Rfam family "Eukaryotic large subunit ribosomal RNA", at positions 62 to 937 of the family's 3401-position model. Lineage: Eukaryota; Fungi; Ascomycota; Sordariomycetes; Xylariales; Microdochiaceae. The record is from RNAcentral.